RNAcentral lists this transfer RNA (74 nucleotides) under Bacillus thuringiensis F14-1. Its description in RNAcentral is "tRNA-Met". It matches the Rfam family "tRNA". Rfam says of the family: Transfer RNA (tRNA) molecules are approximately 80 nucleotides in length. Their secondary structure includes four short double-helical elements and three loops (D, anti-codon, and T loops). Further hydrogen bonds mediate the characteristic L-shaped molecular structure. tRNAs have two regions of fundamental functional importance: the anti-codon, which is responsible for specific mRNA codon recognition, and the 3' end, to which the tRNAs corresponding amino acid is attached (by aminoacyl-tRNA synthetases). tRNAs cope with the degeneracy of the genetic code in two manners: having more than one tRNA (with a specific anti-codon) for a particular amino acid; and 'wobble' base-pairing, i.e. permitting non-standard base-pairing at the 3rd anti-codon position. The record is from RNAcentral. Lineage: Bacteria; Bacillati; Bacillota; Bacilli; Caryophanales; Bacillaceae.
GGACCUUUAGCUCAGUUGGUUAGAGCAGACGGCUCAUAACCGUCCGCUCGUAGGUUCAAGUCCUACAAGGUCCA